RNAcentral lists this ribosomal RNA (415 nucleotides) under uncultured bacterium. Its description in RNAcentral is "bacterial SSU rRNA". It matches the Rfam family "Bacterial small subunit ribosomal RNA", at positions 8 to 425 of the family's 1533-position model. The record is from RNAcentral.
AGAGUUUGAUCCUGGCUCAGAUUGAACGCUGGCGGCAUGCCUUACACAUGCAAGUCGAACGGCAGCACGGGAGCAAUCCUGGUGGCGAGUGGCGAACGGGUGAGUAAUGUAUCGGAACGUACCUUUCAGUGGGGGAUAACGUAGCGAAAGUUACGCUAAUACCGCAUAUUCUGUGAGCAGGAAAGCAGGGGAUCGCAAGACCUUGCGCUGAUUGAGCGGCCGAUAUCAGAUUAGCUAGUUGGUGAGGUAAAGGCUCACCAAGGCGACGAUCUGUAGCGGGUCUGAGAGGAUGAUCCGCCACACUGGAACUGAGACACGGUCCAGACUCCUACAGGAGGCAGCAGUGGGGAAUUUUGGACAAUGGGGGCAACCCUGAUCCAGCCAUGCCGCGUGAGUGAAGAAGGCCUUCGGGUUG